Pelobates cultripes (western spadefoot toad) is the source of this 289-nucleotide non-coding RNA. NCBI's taxonomy places the organism in Eukaryota, Metazoa, Chordata, Amphibia, Anura, Pelobatidae. The record is from the annotation of a GenBank genome assembly.
AGAAACUCCACAUACUUUGCAGAGGUCAUCUUUACACCUUCGGGGGCCCUAAAGGGACCAACCAGCACUCUUCCCAUGAUUCCGGCCCAAAACAUGACUACACCACCGCCUUGCUGACGUCGCAGCCUUGUUAGAAUAGGGUGGCCGUCCACCAACCAUCCACUACUCCUUCCAUCUGGACCAUCCAAGGUUGCACAGCACUCAUCAGUGAACAGGACUGUUUGAAAAUUAGUCUUUAUGUAUUUUUCUGCCCAAUUCAGCUGUUUCUGCUUGUGAGCAAUGGUUAGUG